UACGUAGGGUGCGAGCGUUGUCCGGAAUUAUUGGGCGUAAAGAGCUUGUAGGCGGUUUGUCGCGUCUGCUGUGAAAAUCCGGGGCUCAACCCCGGACUUGCAGUGGGUACGGGCAGACUAGAGUGUGGUAGGGGAGACUGGAAUUCCUGGUGUAGCGGUGGAAUGCGCAGAUAUCAGGAGGAACACCUGCGGCGAAGGCGGGUUGCUGGGCCGACACUGACGCUGAGGCGCGAAAGCUAGGGGAGCGAACGGG
This 253-nucleotide ribosomal RNA is filed under the name uncultured bacterium. RNAcentral describes it as "partial 16S ribosomal RNA". It matches the Rfam family "Bacterial small subunit ribosomal RNA", at positions 524 to 776 of the family's 1533-position model. The record is from RNAcentral.